This 422-nucleotide ribosomal RNA is filed under the name uncultured bacterium. Its description in RNAcentral is "bacterial SSU rRNA". It matches the Rfam family "Bacterial small subunit ribosomal RNA", at positions 355 to 774 of the family's 1533-position model. The record is from RNAcentral.
UGAGGAAUAUUGGACAAUGGGCGCAAGCCUGAUCCAGCCAUGCCGCGUGCAGGAAGAAGCAUCUAUGGUGUGUAAACUGCCUUUGUACGGGAAGAAACACUCCUUCGUGAAGGAGCUUGACGGUACCGUAAGAAUAAGGAUCGGCUAACUCCGUGCCAGCAGCCGCGGUAAUACGGAGGAUCCAAGAGUUAUCCGGAAUCAUUGGGUUGAAAGGGUACGUAGGCGGUGGAGUAAGUCAGUGGUGAAAGCCCAUCGCUCAACGAUGGAACGGCCAUUGAUACUGCUAGACUUGAAUUAUUAGGAAGUAACUAGAAUAUGUAGUGUAGCGGUGAAAUGCUUAGAUAUUACAUGUAAUACCAAUCGCGAAGGCAGGUUACUACUCAUGGAUUGACGCUGAUGGACGAAAGCGUGGGGAGCGAACA